This 336-nucleotide unclassified non-coding RNA is filed under the name soil metagenome. RNAcentral's name for it is "partial contains 5.8S ribosomal RNA, internal transcribed spacer 2, and large subunit ribosomal RNA". The stretch from base 1 to 120 matches the Rfam family "5.8S ribosomal RNA", at positions 35 to 154 of the family's 154-position model. The record is from RNAcentral.
GAUGAAGAACGUAGCGAAAUGCGAUAAGUAAUGUGAAUUGCAGAAUUCAGUGAAUCAUCGAAUCUUUGAACGCACAUUGCGCCCGCCAGUAUUCUGGCGGGCAUGCCUGUUCGAGCGACAUUUCAACCAUCAAGCCCCCGGCUUGUGUUGGGGACCUGCGGCUGCCGCAGGCCCUGAAAAGCAGUGGCGGGCUCGCUGUCACACCGAGCGUAGUAGCAUACAUCUCGCUCUGGGCGUGCUGCGGGUUCCGGCCGUUAAACCACCUUCAUAACCCAAGGUUGACCUCGGAUCAGGUAGGAAGACCCGCUGAACUUAAGCAUAUCAAUAAGCGGAGGA